RNAcentral lists this long non-coding RNA (520 nucleotides) under Equus caballus (horse). RNAcentral's name for it is "lncRNA (ENSECAG00000059629.1)". The record is from RNAcentral. Lineage: Eukaryota; Metazoa; Chordata; Mammalia; Perissodactyla; Equidae.
CUUCAACAUGACAGCCCUACAAACAAUGGAAAAUUGUCAUCUCUUCUUAUUCUUCUGUAACAGGCCUUUUCUUUAGGAGGCCUCUUCCAAAUUCAAGGAAAAUAAGAUACCAGUGUGAUGCUUCUGACCCACUGUGGAAAGAGUCUGCGCUCUGAGGUCCCUUCUCUCAGUGGCAGGAAGGAACACUAAGGAUGGCUGCCAACAUGAGAAGCAAAGAGAAAGGCAUGGAACAGAUUCUCUCCUAGAGCCUUCAGAGCGCUGGAUUUUGGACUCCUAGCCUUCAGAACUUAAGAAUGUAAAUUUCUGUUGUUCUAAGAGGCGUGCACACACACACACAUACACACAGCUAAUCCAACUCCUUGUAUCCUAUGCUUCAAUUACUCUUAAAUGUCUCUGAUGCACCAAGUCACUAUGAUUACAUCAUCAAAGUCCUCCUCUCUGCCUCAAUUCCUUUGUAUCUCUCCCCACUAGACAAUCACUUACUAUACUAUAAUUAGUGAGUAAAAGGUUCUGGGAGCCA